UCUCGUGGAAAAUGGCGCACGGAUGAGUAACGCGUGUGAAUCUAACCUAUGGUACGGAACAAUGCAGGGAAAUAGCGCUAAUAACGUAUGAGCUCCUCCGAGGAAAGAUUUAUCUCCGCAGAUGGGCCCGUGUCAGAUUAUGUAGUUGGUGAUGUAAUGGCUCACCAGGCUGAGAUCCGUAUCUGGUCUGAGAGGAUGAUCAGCCACACUGGGACUGAACACGGCACAAACACCUACCGGAGGCAGAAGUGGGGAAUAUCGGACAAUGGGGGAACCCAGAUCCAGCCAUGACGCGUGAGUGAUGAAAGGCUUAGGGUGUAAAGCUCUUUCGAGGAGGCAAGAUAAUGACGGUACCCGAACAUGACCCGCGGUAUAACUCCGUGGCAGCAGCCGCGGUAAU
Molecule: ribosomal RNA, 400 nt
Filed under: uncultured bacterium
Lineage: Bacteria
Description: bacterial SSU rRNA
Rfam family: Bacterial small subunit ribosomal RNA
Source: RNAcentral